Ooceraea biroi (clonal raider ant) is the source of this 254-nucleotide long non-coding RNA. RefSeq lists it as uncharacterized. The record is from RefSeq and is a predicted model, not a curated record. NCBI's taxonomy places the organism in Eukaryota, Metazoa, Arthropoda, Insecta, Hymenoptera, Formicidae.
CUUGAAAGACUUGGCAGUCUCGCUGUCCGAUUCUUGUACUUUGAGAUGCGAGGACACAAGUUGCCAAAGUAAUGGCUUCAACAACGAUAUUUGAGCAUGUUGUGCGUAGAGAUCCAUACGCCAGGAUAAUCCAGCAACAUAGCAUUUUCUUUCAACUGUAAUAAGAAGGAUAAAUUAUCAAGCACAAAAUAUAAUUUUUGUUACGCAUAUUAAGUUAUGCAUGUACGGACUAAAAAGUAAUUUAUUAAUAUUAA